RNAcentral lists this long non-coding RNA (1085 nucleotides) under Felis catus (domestic cat). Its description in RNAcentral is "lncRNA (ENSFCAG00000049257.1)". Lineage: Eukaryota; Metazoa; Chordata; Mammalia; Carnivora; Felidae. The record is from RNAcentral.
CGGGGACAUGCUCCUGUGUGAUAUUCUGCGCCAGACAUUAUGAUAGGCAUACUUUAAGGGUUUCGUAUUCAUUAUCACAUUUAAUCCUCAAAAUGUCUCGUUACGGUCUCAAAACUUGAGGUUGGUACAAGAAUCAGCUUCAUUUUAUAGAUAAAGAGACUCGGGCAUAAGGUGAUGAGGUCGUGCCGCUGGCAGAGCUGGGAUCUGAACCCUGGUCAUCUGCCUCCCUCCUGGCAAAGAUGGGUAUGGGCUGGGGAGGGGGGACGUCCUCCUCGGUUGGUUGUCUCCUUUCUGCCUUUGACAGCUCCGUGAAGGUCUGCCUCGGCUCUCCUUCAUUCUGAAAAGCAAGACAGGAGGCCCCGCGGACGGCUGCGAUUCCCCGCUAAGGUUCUCCUAGCACAGGCUCAUUCUCGGCUCUUUCCCGGUUCCCAUACCUCCAUCGCCGCCGCCCCCCGGAGCAGGGCCGGGCAUGCAGCGAGCGCCGGGUGAAGCGGUGCUGACGGAUGCCUGAAGCGGCCCCUCCUGGGCUCCAGGCUGGGGCGGGGAGAGGAGGGCCAGAGCCGCCUCCCCGGGAGGCCCAGGCCGGUGCUAGGGCCGGAGGGAGAGGGGUGAAGACCCGCACUGAUUAACCGCCUCCUGCAUGCUGGGCUCAAGGGCGAGGCGGCCUGGGCUUGGCGGUGGGGCUCUGGGUGGCCCCCUAAGGGCCAGUCUUCCGGCACAGGGGACCCCCAGAGUUUCGCCUGAGCCCCCCGGGGAGCUGUCUGGACGGAGCCUCUCCGGGGUGGGCAGUGUUACCAUUCUCACUUUGCAGCUGGGGAAGCUGAAGUUCAAGGGCUGAAAAAAAACGUGUCCAAGAAAAUGGUGGAGCUAACAGUUAAACUCUGAUCUCAGAUGAAAACUUUCACUUUUUGGGGCUUUCUUCAGGAUUUGUUGUUGUUGUUUGUUUAAUAUAUUCGAUUUCUUUUUGGAUGAGGAACACCUGUAUGUGAAAUAGGAAGGUUUUAAGUAUGUAGUCACCUUGAUCCAGCGUCCUGGUUCCUUAAUUAAAGGCGGUCUCUGUUAUUCGUGUUUUCUGUAUCUUUGGG